CAGGCUGCAACCCGCCUGCACGAAGCCGGAGUUGCUAGUAAUCGCGGGUCAGCAUACCGCGGUGAAUACGUUCCCGGGCCUUGUACACACCGCCCGUCACACCACGAAAGUUGGUAACACCCGAAGCCGGUGGCCUAACCCUUAGGGGAGGGAGCUGUCGAAGGUGGGACUGAUGAUUGGGGUGAAGUCGUAACAAGGUAAC
This 202-nucleotide ribosomal RNA is filed under the name uncultured bacterium. RNAcentral's name for it is "partial 16S ribosomal RNA". It matches the Rfam family "Bacterial small subunit ribosomal RNA", at positions 1301 to 1500 of the family's 1533-position model. The record is from RNAcentral.